GCAUUUCUUGCUGAAAGUUUUAAUUAUAAUUUGUUAUUAUUUCUCUACGAGAAGAGAAUAAAUGUUUUAUUAUUGUUUCUUGAGGAAAACAAUGUCAUAAAUAUACCUACUUUUACAGUUCCCUGACAAUAUGCAAUUUCUAAUUAUCCCGAAAUCCGCGUAAAAACGACUUCAACUAAAAUCGUUUUUUCCAAGUUUUCACGUAUUUCUUGACGAUUUCGAUAAACCGCGUGAAAAAUCCAUGAGGAAAAUCUGCGUAAAAACGUGUUUAUUCCACAAUCUACGUAAAAAUAAAUGAGUUAAAUAAAAAAAACGCGCAUGAGAUGACUCAAGUGCAUUUAACUAAAACACAUAGAAACAUCAAAGUAAUUUAUUAUCGAAUCCUUCUUUAGCUUUAAAUUAUUUAGCUCAAAAUUGGAUCUGUGGCAAUUCGAAUAAACAUAAAACUUAUAAUUUGUGUCGUAACAAUAUCUCAAUUUACAAAACAUGUCGUAUCGGCAUAAUGUUUUAAUCGGUUGCAACUGCUCAAUAAAUAAUAUUGCUUUUUAAAGUCAUCGAGCACAAUUUGCUUGUUUAUAAAUUAACUGUCAAUUCAUGCCAUGAAGGAUGCCUAUCCAACAGGCAACAUACUACACGCAGAUGAAAUUACUCUUAUUCUCUCUGUUUACUCACAUUCGCCAUGCGCUGAAGGUUGUCUCUCCUGCAGGCGGCAUACUAAACACGGAGACAGCUAUCUCUUAUUCUCUCUGUUUACAUUUCGUUUGACAGAACAUACUCGAAUGAACUAGUACAACACCAUUCGAAAUCUUGUACUGCGACUGAAUGAAGUCGAACGAAAUACAUAAUGCCGCAAUUUUUUCGAAACGAAUCGAAAAACUUACGAAUCGAGUGAUUCGAUUCGAGAUGCGCAAUGUCACCCCAGGAAUCACAUCAACGACGACGGAACGAUUCACAACUAAGCGGGGACCAGAUCGCUGUCGUGAUUGAUUGCCCUCCAGGAAAGUUUGAGAAAAAAGGCGAGAAAUUUUCUCCACUUUUAACUGCUGCCGUAGCUUCAUUGCUUCACCUUUUGGAAUCUUUGGUCGCUCACAGGAACCAUCCAAGAGGAUGUAAGACUUCUGCAUCUAAUUAUCAGGACACAGCCGCUUUUUGCGUGUGUGUUAUUAUUUAAAAGAGGACGAAUCUGGACGAAUGAGGAGACAAACUAGUACCGGACGAAGAGAGGAGCACUUUAGGUGAAUGAAAAUUUGGUAACCAAACUGCAGAUUCCUCAGAAGGAUUUGACUACAAAAUGUGUGUUGCUCGCACUUGAUUGAAUCCGAAAUUAAUCCGCUCCAGCAUUAACACUGGAGUAAACCGAGAAGGAAAUCGGCGGAGGUUGUUGUUGAUUAAGCCAUCGGCGAUACAGGAAUGCGUAUCAUUGUCUGUCAUAUGCUGGCGCAUCGCUUGAUCGAAUAAUACGCCGCAAUGAUAACUUAUGGUAGUGGUCAUUCUGGCCAAUUAUAUCUAUACGGAAAACAAUGUGUAUCUCAACCCGUGCGGACUUUGCAGCAUAGAUGAACCAAUGGUGACACUCGGCUGACCUGUCGUAGGAUCAUCAUUGACACCUGCGGAGGCGGGGGAGUACACGACGGUGGUUCUUUUUACGGUUAUGACUUCACCAAGGUCAACCGUUCAGCUGGGUGGCCAAGUUGUUGGUGCAGACCGGAAUCUGCCGGUGCUUGUUUGCAAAUGUAUAUAUCUUCUACAGUUAAUUUGCCAUCGGCCUCGCAUAACUGCAUUCGAUUAUGGUACUUGUCGCGAAUAUUACGGGAAAUCGUAGUUGAAUGGAAGAUAUGUAUACCGGCUAUCAGCUGCUUAGUCGAAAACAUUUCAAACAAGACAAUAAGGAAUAAGCAUUACACAGCGAGAUCAAGGUAGUACACGCGGUGCCGCUUUGCCUAGCGGUUUAAUGUUAUCCUGCGGUUGGCUUUUCCGGAUUUAUUUUUAGCGCAUCCAGUGUUGAUCUCAGCGGAAGUGCCUUCUGCCAGCCAUCGCGCGUUUUAAGUUAAUAUUAAUUUAUAAGAAUAAAAUAAAAACAUAUUAUAAAUUUCGAAACCAAAACUAUUUUUUGUAUAUUUUAGAAUUGCCCAUUUACAAUACAAAUACUCAUAAUGAAAGUUCUUUCAUCUUGUUGUUUUGAAAGCAUUUUGUGAAUACAAAUGGAAAAACACUUUUUAUUUUGAGAGAAAACUGUUGCUUUGACAAACAGAUGAAUCUUGCUGAAACACAGUUUGUGCCUACUUGAUUGCUAAGUUCCUUGAUUGCUUUAUUAGUUGGUUGGUUGCUUGAUUGAUCGUAGCUUGCUUGAAUGGUGAGUUCCUUGAUUGGUUGACUGGUUGGGUGCUUGAUUUGUUAGUUGGUUAAUUGGUUGGCUGCUUGAUUAAUUGGUGGGUUAUUUGGUUGGUCGGCUUGUUAGUUGAUUAGUUGUUUUGUUGGUUGCUUGAAUGGUUAAUUGGUUAGUUGGUUGGUUGAUUGAUUGAUUUGUUAGUUGGUGAAAUGAUUAUUUGCUUGAGUUAGUUGGUUGAUUGAUAGCUUGUUUGAUUCGUUAGUUGCUUGAUUGGUUAAUGGUUGCUUGAUUGAUUGGAAGUGGUCUUGAAUGAUUGUUUGCUUGAUUGGUUAGUUGUUUGAUUGGUUGGUUGCCUAAUUGGUUGGUUAGUUGCUUGAUAGGUUAAUUGGUUGCUUGAUUUAUUUUUUAAUUGAUUGGUAGCUUGCUUGAAUGGUUAAAUGAUUGGUUGCUUGGUUGAUUGGUAAGAUGCUUGAUAGGAUGGUUGUUUAAUAGGAUGGUUGCCUAAUUUAGUUUAUUGGUAGCUUGCUUGAAUGGUUGAUUUAUUUUUUUGUUGUUUGCUUGAAUGGUUUUCAUGUUGGUUGCUUGAAAAGUUGAUUGGGUUACUUGAUUGAUUAGUAGGAUGUUUGAUUAUUUUUUUGUUUCAUUGGUUGGUUGACAGGCUGGUGGGUUGGUAGGUUGUUUGAAUGGUUGGUUGGUUGAUUUGUUAGUUGGUUGAAUGGUUGGUUGGUAGCUCGCUUGAAUGCCUAAUUGUUUUAUUGGUUGGUUAGUUAUUUGGUAGUAUGCUUAAAUGGUUGAUUUAUUGGUUGCUUGGUUUUUUGGUUUGCUGGUUAGUUGAUUAUUUGUUUUUUGGUUGCUUGAUUGGUUGAUUAGUUGGUUGGUUGAUUGAUUGAUUAGUUGAUUUGUUAGUUGGUUAAAUGUUUAAUUGCUUGAUUGGUUGGAAGUUGAUUGGUAGCUUGCUUGAAUGGUUGGUUGGUUGAUUGGUAGAUUGGUUAAUGGUUGCAUGAUUAAUUGGAAGUGGGUUAGAAUGAUUGUUUGUUUGAUUGGUUAGUUGGUUACUUGAUUCGUUUGUUGUUUGGUUGAUUUGCUGGUUAAUUAGUUAUUUGAUUGGAUAAUUGGUUACUUUAUUGAUUGGUUGCUUGAUUGGUAACUUGCUUGAAUGGUUGGUUGCUUGAUUGGUUUAUUGGUUGGUUAGUUCACUGGUAUCUUGCUUAAAUGAUUAAUUGCUUGAUUGGUUUCCCUUGUCAUAAGACGAGUUUGUACAAUCCCAUUGAA
Molecule: long non-coding RNA, 3601 nt
Organism: Armigeres subalbatus
Lineage: Eukaryota; Metazoa; Arthropoda; Insecta; Diptera; Culicidae
Exons: 3
Source: RefSeq, a predicted model, not a curated record